This 263-nucleotide ribosomal RNA is filed under the name uncultured archaeon. RNAcentral describes it as "partial 16S ribosomal RNA". It matches the Rfam family "Archaeal small subunit ribosomal RNA", at positions 718 to 982 of the family's 1478-position model. The record is from RNAcentral.
AGUCACUGACAUUAGAUACCCCCGUAGUCCAGGGUGUAAACGCUGCAGACUUGGUGUUGGAAGUCCUUUGGGGGCAUUCAGUGCCGGAGAGAAGUUGUUAAGUCUGCUACUUGGGAGUACGUCCGCAAGGAUGAAACUUAAAGGAAUUGGCGGGGGAGCACCGCAACGGGAGGAGCGUGCGGUUUAAUUGGAUUCAACACCGUAAACUCACCAGGGAAGACUGUUACAUGAAAGCCGAGAUGAAGACUCUGCUAGAUUUUCAG